RNAcentral lists this ribosomal RNA (437 nucleotides) under uncultured Mogibacterium sp. Its description in RNAcentral is "partial 16S ribosomal RNA". It matches the Rfam family "Bacterial small subunit ribosomal RNA", at positions 341 to 792 of the family's 1533-position model. The record is from RNAcentral. Lineage: Bacteria; Bacillati; Bacillota; Clostridia; Peptostreptococcales; Anaerovoracaceae.
ACGGGAGGCAGCAGUGGGGAAUAUUGGGCAAUGGGCGAAAGCCUGACCCAGCAACGCCGCGUGAGGGAAGAAGGUUUUCGGAUUGUAAACCUCUGUCCUUGGUGACGAAGGAAGUGACGGUAGCCAAGGAGGAAGCCCCGGCUAACUACGUGCCAGCAGCCGCGGUAAUACGUAGGGGGCGAGCGUUGUCCGGAAUGACUGGGCGUAAAGGGCGUGUAGGCGGCACUGUAAGUCUGGAGUGAAAGUCCUGCUUUCAAGGCGGGAAUUGCUUUGGAGACUGCAGAGCUUGAGUGCAGAAGAGGUAAGCGGAAUUCCCUGUGUAGCGGUGAAAUGCGUAGAGAUAGGGAGGAACACCAGUGGCGAAGGCGGCUUACUGGGCUGUAACUGACGCUGAGGCGCGAAAGUGUGGGGAGCAAACAGGAUUAGAUACCCUGGUA